AGCAGCCGCGGUAAUUCCAGCUCCAAUAGCGUAUAUUAAAGUUGUUGCAGUUAAAAAGCUCGUAGUUGAAUUUUAGGCCUGGCCGGGCGGUCCGUCUUUGGCGAGUACUGUUCUGUGUCGGGUCCACCUUCUGGUGAACCAGUAUGUCCUUUAUUGGGUGUGCCGGGGAGCCAGGACCAUUACCUUGAAAAAAAUUAGAGUGUUUAAAGCAGGCAUUUGCUUGAAUAGAUUAGCAUGGAAUAAUAGAAUAGGACGUUGUGGUUCUAUUUUGUUGGUUUCUAGGACCACCGUAAUGAUUAAUAGGGAUAGUUGGGGGCAUUAGUAUUCAAUUGUCAGAGGUGAAAUUCUUGGAUUUAUUGAAGACUAACUAUUGCGAAAAGCAUUUGCCAAGGAUGUUUUCAUUAAUCAAGAACGAAAGUUAGGGGAUCGAAGACGAUCAGAUACCGUCGUAGUCUUAACCAUAAACUAUAGCCGACUAGGAAUCGGGCGAUGUUGACAAAAAUGACGCGCUCGGCACCUCAUGGG
This 525-nucleotide ribosomal RNA is filed under the name uncultured Archaeospora. RNAcentral's name for it is "SSU rRNA". It matches the Rfam family "Eukaryotic small subunit ribosomal RNA", at positions 569 to 1094 of the family's 1831-position model. Lineage: Eukaryota; Fungi; Glomeromycota; Glomeromycetes; Archaeosporales; Archaeosporaceae. The record is from RNAcentral.